AUACGGAGGGUGCAAGCGUUAUCCGGAUUCACUGGGUUUAAAGGGUGCGUAGGAGGGCAGGUAAGUCAGUGGUGAAAUCUCCAAGCUUAACUUGGAAACUGCCGUUGAUACUAUCUGUCUUGAAUAUUGUGGAGGUGAGCGGAAUAUGUCAUGUAGCGGUGAAAUGCUUAGAUAUGACAUAGAACACCAAUUGCGAAGGCAGCUGGCUACACGAAUAUUGACACUGAUGCACGAAAGCGUGGGGAUCAAACA
RNAcentral lists this ribosomal RNA (252 nucleotides) under uncultured prokaryote. RNAcentral's name for it is "partial 16S ribosomal RNA". It matches the Rfam family "Bacterial small subunit ribosomal RNA", at positions 523 to 774 of the family's 1533-position model. The record is from RNAcentral.